Molecule: long non-coding RNA, 707 nt
Organism: Dama dama (fallow deer)
Lineage: Eukaryota; Metazoa; Chordata; Mammalia; Artiodactyla; Cervidae
Exons: 2
Source: RefSeq, a predicted model, not a curated record
AGUGCAGACAGGCAGCGGGCAUGCUGACCGCGGGCGCUGCUGUGCUCACAGGUGCCCUGCGCUCACAGGGGAUGCUCUGAGUGGUCCAGGUUCAAAGUGAGCAGCCGUGAAGCUCUCCUGGGAGACCGAGCCAGCGAUUCGUCUUCCCAAAGAAGAUCUGAGCAAUGAACCCUAGAAUCUGUAGAUUAGAAGGGAUGGUAUGGACAGCCUGCCUCACCCUGCAGCUGCGCAUCUGCGUGAAGUGUCUGGAUGCUUCCCAUGGAGACUUUCUCAACAUAGGACCCUUGACCCACCUGCUUGAGGAUCGCCUGUGAUCUUGUCAAAAUGCACAUUCUAUGUCUGCACCCCUGUUCCACUGACUUGGACACUUGAUCAUCAGGAGAGUCCUCUGUGACUCAAAGAUAAGGGAAAAAUAGCACAAGGCAGUCCAUUUCAUCCUGGGAAACUCAUUAUUAGAAAGAUACUGGAAUGUUACACUCAAAAAUUAAACAGCAACAAGAACAGAGAUAGGAAAAAAAAUCAAAAUAGCUGAAUCUCCCUGUCUCACUCCUGGUCGUAAGGCAGAGAGCUACGGUCUUGUGGUCUCUGUGGUCCUACAAUCCUGUGGUCCAUGUUGUCCUCGGGUCCUGUGGUCCUGUGAUUCAUGUGGUUCUGUGGUCCACGUGCUUCUGUAAUAAAGCGUGAUGCCUUGGCAACAGAGGACAGUA